GCCAGACUCCUACGGGAGGCAGCAGUGGGGAAUAUUGCACAAUGGGGGAAACCCUGAUGCAGCGACGCCGCGUGAGUGAAGAAGUAUUUCGGUAUGUAAAGCUCUAUCAGCAGGGAAGAUAAUGACGGUACCUGACUAAGAAGCCCCGGCUAACUACGUGCCAGCAGCCGCGGUAAUACGUAGGGGGCAAGCGUUAUCCGGAUUUACUGGGUGUAAAGGGUGCGCAGGUGGCAGGGCAAGUCAGAUGUGAAAGCCCGGGGCUCAACCCCGGUAUUGCAUUUGAAACUGUCCGGCUAGAGUGCAGGAGAGGUAAGCGGAAUUCCUAGUGUAGCGGUGAAAUGCGUAGAUAUUAGGAGGAACACCAGUGGCGAAGGCGGCUUACUGGACUGUAACUGACACUGAGGCACGAAAGCGUGGGGAGCAAACAGGAUUAGAUACCCUAGUA
This 445-nucleotide ribosomal RNA is filed under the name uncultured bacterium. RNAcentral's name for it is "bacterial SSU rRNA". It matches the Rfam family "Bacterial small subunit ribosomal RNA", at positions 330 to 792 of the family's 1533-position model. The record is from RNAcentral.